CACAAAGAUAAUCAACCAGAAAUCUCACAAAGAGAAGAAGGAAGGGUCACACAGACAAAGGAACUCGAAGGUUCCAAACGACAGAGAGAAAGAAAGAAAAACAGAAAGUGACGAUUCAAGAGCCAAACAGGGAGUAAGGAGGAUAUUUAUAGUAAAUAUCAUCAACCGUUGAUCAGCGGGUCAAUCCAACGGUCCAAGAGCGACUAAUGGUGUGUGGGCUGGAUAUUGGGCUCGGUUAAGUGGGCCUUCUAGGUAUAUAUUUAAUGGACCAAGUAAUAAAUCCAAUUUGGGCCUUUUCAUCAUUGCCUAACAGUUGGACUGGAUCAAAUGGCAUCACAGCCCAACAGAUCUCCACCUUGAUGCCAGUGAUCAUACAAGAAGCCUAAUAAAUGUAAAAUACAAUUUAAAUGUCCUUCUCAAGAAGACAGCUUCCCAGCAUUCUCAACAAGCAUCAACUUUAGCACCUUAGUACCUAAAUCAGCUGGAUUAUACUGAGUUGCAAUUUUCUCAAGUAAUAUAAGUUCUUUAGAAACAACAUCUCUAAUAAAAUGCAACUUAACAUCAAUAUGUUUUGUUCUUUCAUGAAAAACAGGGUUUUUACAUAGGUGAAUUGCACUUUGACUAUCAGAAUACAAGACAACAGGGUUACUCAAUUCAUUAAUUUCAGAUAAUAAGCCCUUAAGCCAUAAUGCUUCUUUUAUUGCUUCAGUUGCAGCAACAUACUCAGCUUCAGUAGUAGAUAAAGCAACAAUAGGUUGAAGUUGAGAUUUCCAACUAAUGCAUGUAUUACACAAAGUAAACAUAUAAGAAGUAGUAGAUUUCCUAUUGUCUCUAUCUCCGGCAAAAUCUGAAUCUACAAAACCCUUAAGUACAACACCUUCAUUACAAGCACUAAAGAUCAAACCAACAUGUGAAGAUCCUUUCAAGUAUCUCAACAGCCAUUUUAGAGCACCCCAAUGGUCUGGUCCUGGAUUAGCCAUAAAUCUACUAAGUGAGCUAAUGGAAUGAGCUACAUCAGGCCUAGUACAUACCAUAGUGUACAUGACAGAACCUACGGCAUUAGCAUAAGGUACAUUUUCCAUUUGCCUAAUGUCAGAUUCACUUACAGGACAUUGCUCUUUACUAAGCUUAAAAUGGCUGGCCAAUGGAAGUGAAACAGAUUUAGAAUUAUGCAUGGCAAACUUAGUCAACAUCUUUUCAAUAUAUGCAGUUUGCUUCAAGUACAGUAUCCUACUGUGCCUUUUCCUCGUGAUUUCCAUACCUAAGAUUCUCUUUGCAUGUCCUAGGUCUUUCAUUUCAAAUUCAGCACUUAAAGACCGUUUUAUCUGNGUCGACACAAAAUCAAAACUAGGGUUUCGCGAUCUCCGGUCGAACUCCUGGAAAUUAAUUUUCCAGUGUUCAACCUUCAAUCGAAGACUCACGACCGAAAGCCUAUAGCUCUGAUACCACUAUUACAAACUGAAUCCAAGAAAACAUAGAUGAAAUCAUAGAAUCGCAGAUUACACCAUAAACCCUAAAUCACAACAUCAAGGCUUAGAUCUUUCAAUCGAAGGCUCAGACCACACCCAUUUACCAUCACAGAGGCACCGAGACUCAAAACGAACCCUCACAACCCAACACACCAAGGUCACUUCACUGGACUCAAGAAAUCAAACUGCCUACCUUCGGUUGAUCACUCACACAAAGGAGAAUCACACAAGAACACGAUUAUCACAAAGAUAAUCAACCAGAAACCUCACAAAGAGAAGAAGGAAGGGUCACACAGACAAAGGAACUCGAAGGUUCCAAACGGCAGAGAGAAAGAAGAAAAAAUAGAAAGUGACGAUCCAAGAGCCAAACAGGGAGUAAGGAGGAUAUUUAUAGUAAAUAUCAUCAACCGUUGAUCAGCGGGUCAAUCCAACGGUCCAAGAGCGACUAAUGGUGUGUGGGCUGGAUAUUGGGCUCGGUUAAGUGGGCCUUCUAGGUAUAUAUUUAAUGGACCAAGUAAUAAAUCCAAUUUGGGCCUUUUCAUCAUUGCCUAACAGUUGGACUGGAUCAAAUGGCAUCACAGCCCAACAAUUCUUGGUAAUGCCCUCACAAUCUCUAACUACAUGUGCUUCUAGUCGAAGGUUAUUAUCAUUAGAUGGUGUUUUUAAUGGCACAAGGAAUUGCACAAAGAGGCCAGCAAAUGGAAAGCAAUCUAUAAAUAAAGCUAACAAAUCUUUGGAAGAUCCAUUAGUAAUCAAGGAUAGAUCUUGUCCAAAUAGAGACAUCCUGUGAAGCUUGAAUCAAUAGUAAGAUGUGUAAAUUCCCUGAAAAUGCAGGUAUUUUCUCAUUGGCAAUGUAGAUUAAACAAAUGUAUAUGUAAAGAAGCAAAAACUGAUUUUGAGUAUGAUGAUAUCUUUGCAGUGUAGAACUGUAGAACAGGAAAAGGAGGGGAGGUCUGGUUCUCAUUUGACAAAAUGUUUGAUGCUGAAAACGAGACAAAUAAAAGUAAACUUAGAUUAUUUAGUUUUAGAAAAAUUAGGUAGAGUUUUUCUAUGGUGUAGAUCUUUUUACCCCCUGAUAGUACAUUUUUACUUAACACGAAGGUUUAGAUUUGGUGCUUCGUGUUUUUCCAACAAUGCACGCUGUGCUGCUAGAAGUCAAAAAUUUCUGCUCCAUGUUAGUGCAAAAGAAGGUCUGGUAAUUAUUUUUUCCUUUUGAUUUUUUUGCCACGAACUUCUGCGUUCAAUGUAACAUAGAUUUUGGCAUUGUAAUAUUUAUUUUAAACUUAUAAUAUCCCUUUUUGCAUUUAUGCAAAUGAUAUUCGGCAAGAAUUAUGGUGGAGGACUUAUUGUAUUUGCACCCAGACGUAUUUUCUAGUGGAGUACUGUAACUAUUCCACAAGGGCCAAUCAGAAUGUCGGUGCCAAUGGUUGCCAUCAGUUCUGUGGAAGAGAUAGGUGGUGGUGGUGGAAAUAAUAAGGAUGAGAAGGAAGGACAAUUUCAAAGAAAACCUAGGAGGAGUUGGUCAUCUAUGCUACAUAGAUAAUUCUUGCUAGCCCUUCAAAAACUUGGUGGUUCACACAGUAUAAUUUAUUAUCAAAUUAACUUUGACUAAGAUACAUGUGACUUCAUUUUUGCAUUGAUUGUUCUGGUUCGUCUUAUUAUACAGUUGCUACACCUAAACAAUUAAGGAUUUGAUGAAGGUUGACGGUCUAACAAAUUUUGAAGUAAAAAGUCAUUUACAGGUUUGUUCGAUCAAAAUAUUUUCCUUGUAAAAAUUCUUUAAAAUUGAAAAUGGCUUGAAUUAGCUAUGGAAGUUUUUUACUUGACGGGUUGCUCUUGCCAAGUGAAUAUCGCUUAUUUUGGAGAUAAUGAAUUGUGUUAUACAAUAAAUUUACGCUCUAAUUAAGAUCUUUGUGCUUUCAUUGCAGAAAUAUAGGCUGCAUGGGUGACGACCAGGUCAUUUUAUUUAUUAUCACAGUAGACAAGCAUCACAGUACCUGGUGGUGGGAGGAGUCUAGGGGCCAUCACCUGAAUAUGAUGCUACAUUGGAUACAAAAACUACAGCCACCACUUGUAAUCAAAUCUAUGGGCCAAUUGCUUUUCGACUACCACCAUUACAAAGGCAGCAGUAUAACCAAUUCCACUCUGAUGACCAAGCUAGUCAUUCUGAUGAUAGAACUCACUCUUGGUCCCUGGCCACCUCCUUCUCUAUGCAUUCAACCACAAUUCACACCCUAUUGAUUUUUCUCCUUGCAUAUUUGAUACAUAGUAAAAGACUACCCUGACAACAUGAUAAGAAAAAGUAUAGUCGUCAUUUUUUCUUGGGAAAUACCACUAUCUAAUUUAACUUACCUUUUUAUUUAUUUAUUUUUAUUUUUUGGAAGGAGAGAGGGGGGGGGGAUGGCUCUAGUCAUUUCGUAUAACCAUUUAGUAAAAUAUAAAGCCAAUGAGACCUUAUGUAUUUUCCAUAUUUAUUGAACUUCCAAUAUUAUGUUUUUUGAAAUUUAUAUGCAUUGGAGAAUGAUAUUAUAGCUCAGUAAGUGUUGUUGGAACUUCCCUGUUUACUGGAUAUUGUAAUAAUAAAUAUCAAUAUAAAGAAUAAACCCCCCUUAAAAUUCCAGCUUGCUAAUUUUAUUAUUUGUGCUAUGUCAACUGGUGGCAGAUUCUACAUUAUUUUUUAAUAGAAAAUAUUUCAUAGGCCUCUACUCUUUUAUCUCAUCUAAUCAAAAGUAGGAACGAGAUGAUAUCCCAUGCAUGCUUCUUGUUUUUGUGUUAAUUAAUCUGGUUUGCACAUUGUUGAAUUUAAUAUUUUCAGGUUAAAUUGUUGGAAUAUAGUGGUGCACCUAUUUAUUUUUUUUAUUGAAUUGAUUUCUUCAUUUAAUUUAUUUUUUUGUAGAUAUCUCAUCUUAUUUCUCCUUAUUUGAACUUACCAUGUUUGUUUUGUAAUAUAUGAUGCUUGGUAAUCUGAAACUUAUGAUUAGUACAUGUGUUUAAUAUUCAUUCUCCAUUGCACUAAAACCUUGCAACCGAGGGAGGCAACAGUGCCAAUAACAUGUAUUCCGUCGAAGAAUCUGAUGUUGGUAUACUUCGCUAUAUCUCUUAGCUUACAGGCUUCCAUGGAAUUCACAGGAAAAGGUAUCUCUUUGGUCUCUCCCUUAAUAUUUGCAUACAUCAAAUAUACUUACGUUAUUUAUCAACCUUAAGACGAUUUUUAGAAAUGUAUCUCAAUUAAUUAUCUUUAAUGUUCGAAUUAUGAACGUGAAUGCAAGGGUAGAAGCAAGUUCUGAUAUUUUAGUACAAAUGAGGAUACCAGGUACUGAAAUAUUCAGCGAG
RNAcentral lists this long non-coding RNA (4802 nucleotides) under Olea europaea subsp. europaea. Lineage: Eukaryota; Viridiplantae; Streptophyta; Magnoliopsida; Lamiales; Oleaceae. The record is from RNAcentral.